Molecule: ribosomal RNA, 2897 nt
Filed under: Klebsiella pneumoniae
Lineage: Bacteria; Pseudomonadati; Pseudomonadota; Gammaproteobacteria; Enterobacterales; Enterobacteriaceae
Description: bacterial LSU rRNA
Rfam family: Bacterial large subunit ribosomal RNA
Source: RNAcentral
UUAAGCGACUAAGCGUACACGGUGGAUGCCCUGGCAGUCAGAGGCGAUGAAGGACGUGCUAAUCUGCGAAAAGCGUCGGUAAGGUGAUAUGAACCGUUAUAACCGGCGAUGUCCGAAUGGGGAAACCCAGUGUGAUUCGUCACACUAUCGUUAACUGAAUACAUAGGUUAACGAGGCGAACCGGGGGAACUGAAACAUCUAAGUACCCCGAGGAAAAGAAAUCAACCGAGAUUCCCCCAGUAGCGGCGAGCGAACGGGGAGCAGCCCAGAGUCUGAAUCAGCUUGUGUGUUAGUGGAACGGUCUGGAAAGUCCGACGGUACAGGGUGAUAGUCCCGUACACCAAAAUGCACAGGCUGUGAACUCGAAGAGUAGGGCGGGACACGUGGUAUCCUGUCUGAAUAUGGGGGGACCAUCCUCCAAGGCUAAAUACUCCUGACUGACCGAUAGUGAACCAGUACCGUGAGGGAAAGGCGAAAAGAACCCCGGCGAGGGGAGUGAAAAAGAACCUGAAACCGUGUACGUACAAGCAGUGGGAGCACCUUCGGGUGUGACUGCGUACCUUUUGUAUAAUGGGUCAGCGACUUAUAUUCUGUAGCAAGGUUAACCGUAUAGGGGAGCCGCAGGGAAACCGAGUCUUAACUGGGCGUUAAGUUGCAGGGUAUAGACCCGAAACCCGGUGAUCUAGCCAUGGGCAGGUUGAAGGUUGGGUAACACUAACUGGAGGACCGAACCGACUAAUGUUGAAAAUUAGCGGAUGACUUGUGGCUGGGGUGAAAGGCCAAUCAAACCGGGAGAUAGCUGGUUCUCCCCGAAAGCUAUUUAGGUAGCGCCUCGUGAAUUCAUCUUCGGGGGUAGAGCACUGUUUCGGCUAGGGGGUCAUCCCGACUUACCAACCCGAUGCAAACUACGAAUACCGAAGAAUGUUAUCACGGGAGACACACGGCGGGUGCUAACGUCCGUCGUGAAGAGGGAAACAACCCAGACCGCCAGCUAAGGUCCCAAAGUCAUGGUUAAGUGGGAAACGAUGUGGGAAGGCACAGACAGCCAGGAUGUUGGCUUAGAAGCAGCCAUCAUUUAAAGAAAGCGUAAUAGCUCACUGGUCGAGUCGGCCUGCGCGGAAGAUGUAACGGGGCUAAACCAUGCACCGAAGCUGCGGCAGCGACACUAUGUGUUGUUGGGUAGGGGAGCGUUCUGUAAGCCUGCGAAGGUGACCUGUGAGGGUUGCUGGAGGUAUCAGAAGUGCGAAUGCUGACAUAAGUAACGAUAAAGCGGGUGAAAAGCCCGCUCGCCGGAAGACCAAGGGUUCCUGUCCAACGUUAAUCGGGGCAGGGUGAGUCGACCCCUAAGGCGAGGCCGAAAGGCGUAGUCGAUGGGAAACAGGUUAAUAUUCCUGUACUUGGUGUUACUGCGAAGGGGGGACGGAGAAGGCUAUGUUAGCCGGGCGACGGUUGUCCCGGUUUAAGCAUGUAGGCUGGUUGUCCAGGCAAAUCCGGAUAAUCAAGGCUGAGGUGUGAUGACGAGGCACUACGGUGCUGAAGUAACAAAUGCCCUGCUUCCAGGAAAAGCCUCUAAGCAUCAGGUAACAUCAAAUCGUACCCCAAACCGACACAGGUGGUCAGGUAGAGAAUACCAAGGCGCUUGAGAGAACUCGGGUGAAGGAACUAGGCAAAAUGGUGCCGUAACUUCGGGAGAAGGCACGCUGGUGUGUAGGUGAAGUCCCUGCGGAUGGAGCUGAGACCAGUCGAAGAUACCAGCUGGCUGCAACUGUUUAUUAAAAACACAGCACUGUGCAAACACGAAAGUGGACGUAUACGGUGUGACGCCUGCCCGGUGCCGGAAGGUUAAUUGAUGGGGUUAUCCGUAAGGAGAAGCUCUUGAUCGAAGCCCCGGUAAACGGCGGCCGUAACUAUAACGGUCCUAAGGUAGCGAAAUUCCUUGUCGGGUAAGUUCCGACCUGCACGAAUGGCGUAAUGAUGGCCAGGCUGUCUCCACCCGAGACUCAGUGAAAUUGAACUCGCUGUGAAGAUGCAGUGUACCCGCGGCAAGACGGAAAGACCCCGUGAACCUUUACUAUAGCUUGACACUGAACAUUGAGCCUUGAUGUGUAGGAUAGGUGGGAGGCUUUGAAGCGUGGACGCCAGUCUGCGUGGAGCCAACCUUGAAAUACCACCCUUUAAUGUUUGAUGUUCUAACGUUGGCCCCUGACCGGGGUUGCGGACAGUGUCUGGUGGGUAGUUUGACUGGGGCGGUCUCCUCCCAAAGCGUAACGGAGGAGCACGAAGGUUAGCUAAUCCUGGUCGGACAUCAGGAGGUUAGUGCAAUGGCAUAAGCUAGCUUGACUGCGAGCGUGACGGCGCGAGCAGGUGCGAAAGCAGGUCAUAGUGAUCCGGUGGUUCUGAAUGGAAGGGCCAUCGCUCAACGGAUAAAAGGUACUCCGGGGAUAACAGGCUGAUACCGCCCAAGAGUUCAUAUCGACGGCGGUGUUUGGCACCUCGAUGUCGGCUCAUCACAUCCUGGGGCUGAAGUAGGUCCCAAGGGUAUGGCUGUUCGCCAUUUAAAGUGGUACGCGAGCUGGGUUUAGAACGUCGUGAGACAGUUCGGUCCCUAUCUGCCGUGGGCGCUGGAGAAUUGAGGGGGGCUGCUCCUAGUACGAGAGGACCGGAGUGGACGCAUCACUGGUGUUCGGGUUGUCAUGCCAAUGGCACUGCCCGGUAGCUAAAUGCGGAAGAGAUAAGUGCUGAAAGCAUCUAAGCACGAAACUUGCCCCGAGAUGAGUUCUCCCUGAGACUUUAAGUCUCCUGAAGGAACGUUGAAGACGACGACGUUGAUAGGCCGGGUGUGUAAGCGCAGCGAUGCGUUGAGCUAACCGGUACUAAUGAACCGUGAGGCUUAACCU